ACUCCUACGGGAGGCAGCAGUGGGGAAUAUUGGACAAUGGGGGCAACCCUGAUCCAGCAAUGCCGCGUGAGUGAUGAAGGCCUUCGGGUUGUAAAGCUCUUUUGGCGGGGACGAUGAUGACGGUACCCGCAGAAUAAGCCCCGGCUAACUUCGUGCCAGCAGCCGCGGUAAUACGAAGGGGGCUAGCGUUGUUCGGAAUUACUGGGCGUAAAGGGCGCGUAGGCGGUCCUGAUCGUCGGAUGUGAAAGGCCUGGGCUCAACCUGGGAACUGCAUCCGAUACGGCGGGACUGGAGUGUGGGAGAGGUUGGUGGAAUUCCCAGUGUAGAGGUGAAAUUCGUAGAUAUUGGGAAGAACACCGGUGGCGAAGGCGGCCAACUGGACCACAACUGACGCUGAGGCGCGAAAGCGUGGGGAGCAAACAGGAUUAGAUACCCUGGUAGUCCACGCUGUAAACGAUGCGUGCUAGACGUUGGGCACCCUAGGUGUCCGGUGUCGUCGCUAACGCUUUAAGCACGCCGCCUGGGGAGUACGGCCGCAAGGUUAAAACUCAAAGGAAUUGACG
This 563-nucleotide ribosomal RNA is filed under the name uncultured Alphaproteobacteria bacterium. RNAcentral describes it as "bacterial SSU rRNA". It matches the Rfam family "Bacterial small subunit ribosomal RNA", at positions 335 to 915 of the family's 1533-position model. The record is from RNAcentral. Lineage: Bacteria; Pseudomonadati; Pseudomonadota; Alphaproteobacteria.